Molecule: transfer RNA, 73 nt
Filed under: Gammaproteobacteria bacterium
Lineage: Bacteria; Pseudomonadati; Pseudomonadota; Gammaproteobacteria
Description: tRNA-Pro
Rfam family: tRNA
About the family: Transfer RNA (tRNA) molecules are approximately 80 nucleotides in length. Their secondary structure includes four short double-helical elements and three loops (D, anti-codon, and T loops).
Source: RNAcentral
UUGGAAUUAGCUCAGUUGGAUAGAGCUCCGGUCUUGGGAACUGGUGGCGCCGGUUCGAUUCCGGCAUUCCAAA